This 1085-nucleotide long non-coding RNA is filed under the name Homo sapiens (human). RNAcentral's name for it is "HSALNT0336664". Lineage: Eukaryota; Metazoa; Chordata; Mammalia; Primates; Hominidae. The record is from RNAcentral.
AUGCCACAUCAAACUGUUUGUGGUACUUCUAAACUUCGUGGAAGAGCCCUGUUUCAUAAAUCUGAGACAGCCUUGGUCUGAGGGAGCAAAGACAGAGAAUUCACGUGCUGCCCAGGCAUAGCCACAUAGCAGGUGGACAUCCCUGGACACUUUUCUGAGAUUUUAUGUCAUAGACCCUCAUUGGAUUUUCCUGGAAGUACGGAGAGUUACAUCCAGAGAACUCUGAACAUUUUGGAAGGACCCCAAUCCUGCAAACAAUGAAUGGCAAUAAAUCCUGGGACUGGAAAGGUUUAAUGAAGCCAGCUGUCAUGUUGAUGAGACUCAUGUGUCAAGGAACUGAAGAUGGUCCAUAGCCAACAGCCAGCCAGGAACUGAUUGGCUAGUAGUCCUUGAGGAACUGAAUCUCACCAACAACCAUAUAGUGAACUUGCAAAUGGUGCUUCCUCAGUUGAAACUAAAGAUGAGACUGAAGUCCUAGUUAACACUUUGUUUGCCACCUUGUAAGAUUGUGAAACAGAGGCCUGAGCUAAGCCAUGCCCAGAUUCUUGAUCCACAGAAACUGUGAGAUAAUAAAUGUGCAUUGAUUUAAGCCUCAGAUUUUGUGGUAAUGCUUUACAAAGCAAUAAGUAACUAAUGCAGUAUUCAACAAAUUUUUUGAAAAAAAAAAGAUGCUUGAAGACCUGUAUUUAAUUAUUUUUGUGAAGAAUACUCAAUGUAUACUGACUGCACCUGGGUUUUUAGUCUUAACCAAAUCAUAUACCAGUUUUAUGACCUGGCAAAAAUGUUUUUCUCUCUCUCUAGAGGUCACUUUCUUCAUCUGUUAAACGAGGUAAUUAAUUUAGAUGAUCUUUAAAAUGUCCACUAGAUUUCAUACAUCUAUCACAUAUGAUUUCAUGUAUAUGUAAUGAAAACAAAUUUUAUAUAUAUACAAAAUUUAUUUUCACUUGCAUUUAUGAAACAGGAGAAACAAAAUAAAAUUACAUUUAUUUAUUUUAAUUUAAUCUUGAAAGUAAAUUCAUGUUAUCUUCUAAAAAUGUUUCAGUUUACAAUUCAUCCAUAUUAACUUUAAUAAAAUGAUAUUUGGU